UAGUCCACGCCCUAAACGAUGCUAACUCGAUGUGUGCAUAAGUGCGCAUCCAAGGGAAACCGUUAAGUUAGCCACCGUGGGGAGUACGUUCGCAAGAAUGAAACUCAAAGGAAUUGGACGGGGGUCCGCACAAGCGGUGGAGCAUGUUGGUUUAAUUCGAUGAUACGCGAGGAACCUUACCUAGGCUACUAAUGCGCGUGACCGUCUCCUGAAAGGGAGCUUUCCUUCGGGACACAAAGCAAGGUGCUGCAUGGUUGUCGUCAGCUCGUGCCGUGAGGUGCGUGGCCUUAAGUGCCGCAACGACGCGCAACCCCUAUUGUUAGUUGCCAGCGAGUAAUGUCGGGGACUCUAACAAGACUGCCGGCGUAAGCCGAGAGGAAGGUGGGGAGUGGACGUCAAAUCAUCAUGGCCUUUAUGCCUAGGGCUACACACGUGCUACAAUGGACGGUACAGAGGGUCGGCUAACCCGCGAAGGGGGUGCGUAAUCGUCAGAAAGCCGUUCCCAGUUCGGAUUGGAGUCUGCAA
RNAcentral lists this ribosomal RNA (525 nucleotides) under uncultured bacterium. RNAcentral describes it as "bacterial SSU rRNA". It matches the Rfam family "Bacterial small subunit ribosomal RNA", at positions 791 to 1310 of the family's 1533-position model. The record is from RNAcentral.